UUUUUUUUGUUUUUAUAAAAAGUAAAACCUGCCCUAUGAUAAAAUUAAAUGGCCGCGAUUAUUAUCGUGCAAAGGUAGCAUAAUAAUUUGUCCUUUAAAUGAGGUCUAGAAUGAAAGGUUUAACGAGAAAAUAACUUUUUUAUUUUAAUUUUUUUGAAUUUUAUUUUUUAGUUAAAAAGCUAAAAUAUAAUUAUGGGACGAUAAGACCCUAUAGAAUUUUAUUUUUUAUAUAAAAAAUAAACUUUAUUUUUAUUUUUAUAUUUUAUAUAAAAAAUUUGGUUGGGGCGACUUUUAUAUUAACUAAACUAUAUUUUUAUAUUAUUCAUUAAUUUAUGAUUUAUUGAUCCUAAAAUUUAGAUUAAAAGAAUAAAUUACCUUAGGGAUAACAGCGUAAUUUUCUUGGGGAGUUCUUAUUUAUAAAAAAGUUUGCGA
RNAcentral lists this ribosomal RNA (432 nucleotides) under Corythucha marmorata. RNAcentral describes it as "partial 16S ribosomal RNA". Lineage: Eukaryota; Metazoa; Arthropoda; Insecta; Hemiptera; Tingidae. The record is from RNAcentral.